Notothenia coriiceps (black rockcod) is the source of this 217-nucleotide long non-coding RNA. RefSeq lists it as uncharacterized. The transcript has 3 exons. NCBI's taxonomy places the organism in Eukaryota, Metazoa, Chordata, Actinopteri, Perciformes, Nototheniidae. The record is from RefSeq and is a predicted model, not a curated record.
AUAACCAACGUUACACGGGAUACAUCGCUGGUGGAUAUACGGAAGAGGAGGACGCUGUCUUCUAUGCUGGACUCUGGUCACAAUGGUUGAGCGUCAGACCUACGUGAAGCUCAGUGAAGAGAAACUGAUACCAAAGUCGCACAUAUUGUCACUGCUUAGGACCUACAACUGUUACCAUGAAGGAAAGAAUUUCCAACUGCGGACCCGCGAGGUAAGA